UAAGAAAAUGUGGUGUGUGUGUGUGUGUGUGUGUGUGUGUGUAUAUAUAUAUAUAUAUACACACACACAUACAUAUACAUACACAACACAUA
This 92-nucleotide microRNA precursor is filed under the name Marmota monax (woodchuck). The record is from RNAcentral. Lineage: Eukaryota; Metazoa; Chordata; Mammalia; Rodentia; Sciuridae.